This is a long non-coding RNA of Gasterosteus aculeatus aculeatus (three-spined stickleback), 3364 nucleotides long. NCBI's taxonomy places the organism in Eukaryota, Metazoa, Chordata, Actinopteri, Perciformes, Gasterosteidae. The record is from Ensembl.
UGAACAGGAUAGGCCGUCUUUAUUUAGUUCAAUAGAUCAAAAACACAAAAUCGCUCCAUUAGGAGGAAAAACACAAAAACUACAAAGAGGCUUGAGGAACUGAAUCCAUAAACUGAAACUAGAAUCGUCCAGGCCAGGCCGAGGGCCACCGAGUCUAAGGCGACGGGCCCCGGUAGGUGAAUGGUCGGUACCCUCCAGCACCGGGGAAAGGGAGCCGCAGACUAUAAGACACAUGAGGGCAAUGGGAAACAGUUGGACACAAUCAGGGACCAGGGCAGACGAUUCGACUGGCGACACAUGAGGGGCAAGUGACCUGAAACGAGAGAGGGGUUAAUCUUUCAAAAUAAGACAGGAAAUGACAAGACAAGGCACGGAGACGAGAAAACCCCAACUAGAUCUCACCGCGGUGUGACAUUAGGGGGUAAAGGAUCAGUACUGAUAUUCCAGUUAUAUAAUAAGUACUUUUACUUAUACAAAUGAAUAUAGCCGAUAACACCUUAUUAUUCUUACCUGAAGCCUAAGAAACUGGGCCUCGCUGGGCAGUUUUUAAGAUGGACGUUUGUUAUUAUUGAGGUCGAGGCUGCGAUUCAUAAAGGCACAGUUAUAGAAUCCUCAUAUGAUUUCACAGGAACAUUCAAAUUCCAGUCUACACAAACACGUAUAUAAUCAGGAUACUGUUGCACUCACAGUGUGUGUUUCUUCAUUCUACCACUGGGAGGUGCUAAAGGUUUAAAGUCCAAGUCCAACACCCGGAAGCUGCAGAUCCUCCUUGCUGCUUUGUUUUAGGGCUGUGAAUACACAAUACACAUACAGACACACACACACACACACACCAAUCCCAAGUGUGUUUUUGUUGUGCUUUUGGUUUCAACCAGUCAACAAGUCUCUCCGCCGGCUUCAAUCAAACAAAAUAAUUGUGCUGUAAUAACUUAAAAUGAUCAUAAACCCUUUGAAAUGAUUUUAAAAUGACGAUGCUUUCACUCCAAAGGCCAGAGGAACGAUCCUUCUGUAUCAGCUUUCAUGAAAACACUGUUUUAUGCAGCAUUGAAAGGUGAAGACAACGAGGAGGUCACUUAAACAGUCUCUCUACCUGCCAGCAGGUGGGGACUCCUCUGCAAAAAUAAGAUGACCAAACUUAACAAAUCUAGUUUAAAGUCUUCUUCAAUACAGCUUAAUGUUCAUUUGGUUAAUUAUGCUCUCAAAAUAGUCCAAAAAAAAUCUGGGUGUGUUUUGGGGCGGGGCUAACCUGUGACUGACAGGUUGCUACAAGAGCCAUACACGUCUCAACGUCACUUCAAAUAUGAUUUAUUCUGUUGUUCACUGAUGUUAAGGUAUCAAAAUCAACCUGCUAGCAAGUCUAAAGCUGACUAAUAAACAAUAAUUCAUAUAUGUUUGAUCCAUGCGUGGUUCACAUACACUCUUUUUUAAAGUAUUGCACGUAAUGUAAAUAGCUAUUCAAAUGUGAAUAAAGUUUCUUUAAGCGUCCAUUUCUUUCGACGGGCCUCCUGUCGGUCUCUCUGCUCAUCUAAAUCCCCCUUUGUUCACGUCCGCGGACCCACAAACGUACGACUCUCACCUCUACACACAUUUCACCGCAGCGACUGUUUCAGGUGACUGACACCUGGGAGCGCUCCAAAGCAAAGACUGCGAUUGCGAAAGCGGCGGUGAAGUCGCUAUCGCCUGUGUUAAAACACUUGGCAGUGUUUUAGUGUCCUCUGUCCGUCCGUCAAAGGCUCUGAGUUCAACUCCGGCGCUGAAAGACAAACAAGACGGCAAUUCUGAAUCUGUGGCAGCGUUUGAGAGGCCGAGGAGGCAAACGUGUGGCGGUCUGUGUACGGCAACACACAGCAGAGGUUAGCCUCCCUAAUGAAGAGGACACUGUGAUCAAAUACCAUUUUAAUUGAUGAAAAGAAGGAAGAAGCAGUGAUGUCAGGAGCUUGUCCGAUGACCAUUCGUCCUCAUUCAGGAACCGUAAAUAUCCGAAAGAUGACAAGAGGCCGCCGUCUGGUCAGGGGUUAUCGCUGACUUGACGUGAAGUUUGAUCUAUUUACUUUUUAAAAUUCCUUUAUUUCAGAAAACAUCUCCACGCUCGGUUUACGUUUGUCUCUUCUUCAGGGAAGCAGCACAAAUACAGUUACAAUGCGCACAACAAAUAUGACUGAGUGUGAAAAAGGAGCGUGAGUCUGCGGCCUGAUUAGUGUGAUGCAACACGCCGGGCCGCGCGCGUCCAACGAAUGGAACAGCGGGUUCACGACGAGCCGAGAAAAUCCUCCAAUUGCACAAAACCGGAGGGCAACCGCCCAAGUACACACACGCACGCAGCUGCCAAGAAGCGCACAGGUAUUUGAUCAGGUCAUGUUGACAGAUUGACCCUUUAAUGACAAACAGACGGACAUCUCCUCCCGGCGCCUCGGGAGGUCGGCAGAGCGCAGGGCCCCGACUUCCUCCUGCGGGCCGUUAAUAAAGAGCACAGCUCGGGUCAAAAGGAAUAAACGAGCUGCGGGAGACGCACACACACACACACACACACACACACACACACACCUUGCGUCACCGGGUUUGUCAUUCCUGUUUUUGUUUUUCGUACCAUAGAUGGAAGGCACGGACGUAAUGUUUUUAUGACCCCGUGACCCUUUGAGCCUAAAGCCCGAUAAGGCCUGGACAUGUUUUACUCAGGUUCCUUUGAGCAACUGAUUCACUGUAAAGAAAGACAACGGGUACGUUACGUAUUGUAUUGAUCUGCUGAUCAACGGUUUAAUAAACACAUCUCCAAAAGUUAAAACAAAGGUACUCAUUUAUUUAAGAUUAAAGGGGUAAUAGAAGAUUUAACAUUUUUGUUUCAUUCAAAUAUGUUUUUAAUUUGUCAUUACGGGGACUAUUUGCAUUAUUUAAUAACAGAAAAGUUGGUGUUUCAAUUCAACCAAUAAAGUCUAUAAAAUGUUAUUGUGAUUACCUUCUGAAGCCUCUUUAUAUGAAUGUCUCUUCCCCUUUGUUAGUUAAUAAUAUAUUAAUCAUCAUUUAACACAGGAAUACAGGAGUGAAGCGGUAUCGUGCGUUAUUUCAGGGUAUUCAACUCUCAACUCACAGAAAUCUCUUGAGGAAAAAAAACACUCGUAAGUUCAUUUGUGACCUUGAAAACAGAAAUCAUUACUCUUACUUUCUCAUCUCAUAUUUGUUCUGUUGCUUUUGUGAAACUCGCCUUGUUUCCGGAGCCUUUGCCCACUUCCCACUUCGUCUUCAUCGGCAUUCGCAGUUUGUUAAGUUGCGGCGGACCUUUCGAUGUUUUGACUUUUUCAAAAACAUGGAUGGGACGAGGUCGUCAACAGAUUCACGUCAACUGAGUGACCUCACUCUGCUGAUGAAG